UUGAACGCUGGCGGCAUGCCUUACACAUGCAAGUCGAACGGCAGCACGGGAGCAAUCCUGGUGGCGAGUGGCGAACGGGUGAGUAAUAUAUCGGAACGUGCCCAGUCGUGGGGGAUAACGUAGCGAAAGCUACGCUAAUACCGCAUACGAUCUAUGGAUGAAAGCGGGGGAUCGCAAGACCUCGCGCGAUUGGAGCGGCCGAUAUCAGAUUAGGUAGUUGGUGAGGUAAAGGCUCACCAAGCCGACGAUCUGUAGCUGGUCUGAGAGGACGACCAGCCACACUGGGACUGAGACACGGCCCAGACUCCUACGGGAGGCAGCAGUGGGGAAUUUUGGACAAUGGGCGCAAGCCUGAUCCAGCAAUGCCGCGUGCAGGAUGAAGGCCUUCGGGUUGUAAACUGCUUUUGUACGGAACGAAACGGUGAGCUCUAAUACAGCUUGCUAAUGACGGUACCUGAAGAAUAAGCACCGGCUAACUACGUG
RNAcentral lists this ribosomal RNA (483 nucleotides) under uncultured bacterium. RNAcentral's name for it is "bacterial SSU rRNA". It matches the Rfam family "Bacterial small subunit ribosomal RNA", at positions 30 to 507 of the family's 1533-position model. The record is from RNAcentral.